CUCUAUGGCCAUGCUACUCUGAACAUGUCCGACCUCAUCUGAUCUUAGAAGCUAAGUAGGGUCGGGCCUGGUUAGUACUUGGAUGGGAGACCACCUAGGAAGACAAGGUACUGUAGGCG
Pteropus vampyrus (large flying fox) is the source of this 119-nucleotide ribosomal RNA. The record is from Ensembl. NCBI's taxonomy places the organism in Eukaryota, Metazoa, Chordata, Mammalia, Chiroptera, Pteropodidae.